RNAcentral lists this non-coding RNA (31 nucleotides) under Rattus norvegicus (Norway rat). Lineage: Eukaryota; Metazoa; Chordata; Mammalia; Rodentia; Muridae. The record is from RNAcentral.
UAAGCCAUUGACAGUAUUUCCAAUAAUGGGU